AAUGGACAGGAAAUUCAGGAGAAGAGCUCUUAUUAUUUAUACGGCUUUGAUAAUCGACACAGCUAUUCAUGUGCUCUUAAAGGAUAUGUGGACUUCCCUUCUCCUUCAGUGUGUGUCUAUGGUAAAAACUGCAACAGAUUGACUUACACUGACGAAAGAAUCUGUGCCUCCAAAGGCUCUUCAGUGAAAAUAUCUUGCACGUACAACAAGUACAAUUAUGGUGAGGCAUCAACAUUCUGGUUCAGGAAGAGUCCAUUACGACCUAAGGACCUUGUGGUAAACUCUCAGUAUGCAGGUCGUGCUGAGGUUGAAACAGUGAGAGGACGCUCCACUCUGACAAUCUCUGAGCUGACAGAGAGCGAUUCAGCCGAGUAUCACUUCAAAUUCAAAACACCAAGCUCUGAAUGGAGCAGUUCACCUGGUACAACUCUGACUGUCACAGAGCUCCAGGUGCAGGUGAUCAGAGUCUAUCAGUCCUUUACAGACCUGAAGUGUCACAGCAGCUGCAGUCCAGCUGGUCGUUCUUCCUUCAUCUGGUUCAAGAAUGGAGAGAAAUUCAGCGAGGGAGAGACA
Long non-coding RNA from Centropristis striata (black sea bass), 573 nucleotides. RefSeq lists it as uncharacterized. The record is from RefSeq and is a predicted model, not a curated record. Lineage: Eukaryota; Metazoa; Chordata; Actinopteri; Perciformes; Serranidae. The transcript is spliced from 3 exons.